AAGAGUCUAGCCUGCCCAGUGAUUUUUUAACGGCCGCGGUACUUUGACCGUGCAAAGGUAGCAUAAUCAUUUGCCUUAUAAUUGAAGGCUAGUAUGAAAGGUUUGACGAAAGUUAAGCUGUCUUUUUUUGUAUAAAAUGAAAUUAACUUAUAAGUGCAAAGGCUUAUAUACAACUAAAAGACAAGAAGACCCUAUUGAGCUUACAAAAGUAUUAUGGAGUAAAGUAUAUACAAAUAAUUCUAAUCUUUUUAAGUUUUUAGUUGGGGCGACUUAGGAAUCAAAAAAACUUCCUAGCAUUAAAGUUACUUUUAUGUUUUAUCCAAAAUUUUUUGAUUAUCAGAAUUAGUUACCAUAGGGAUAACAGCAUAAUCUUUCUUAGGAGUUCUAAUCGAAAGAAAGGAUUGUGACCUCGAUGUUGGACUAGAAUAUCCUAAAGGUGCAGAAGUUUUUAAGGGUUGGUCUGUUCG
This 467-nucleotide ribosomal RNA is filed under the name Pomacea dolioides. Its description in RNAcentral is "partial 16S ribosomal RNA". It matches the Rfam family "Bacterial large subunit ribosomal RNA", at positions 1848 to 2583 of the family's 2925-position model. The record is from RNAcentral. Lineage: Eukaryota; Metazoa; Mollusca; Gastropoda; Architaenioglossa; Ampullariidae.